RNAcentral lists this ribosomal RNA (253 nucleotides) under uncultured bacterium. RNAcentral describes it as "partial 16S ribosomal RNA". It matches the Rfam family "Bacterial small subunit ribosomal RNA", at positions 524 to 776 of the family's 1533-position model. The record is from RNAcentral.
UACGAAGGGAGCUAGCGUUACUCGGAAUUACUGGGCGUAAAGCGUGCGCAGGCGGUCUGCUCAGUUGGAAGUGAAAGCCCGGGGCCUAACCCCGGAACUGCUUUCAAAACUAGCAGACUUGAGUAUUGGAGGGGAUAGCGGAAUUCCUAGUGUAGAGGUGAAAUUCGUAGAUACUAGGAGGAACACCGGUGGCGAAAGCGGCUAUCUGGCCAAAUACUGACGCUGUUGCACGAAAGCGUGGGGAGCAAACAGG